Molecule: transfer-messenger RNA, 241 nt
Filed under: Paracoccaceae bacterium
Lineage: Bacteria; Pseudomonadati; Pseudomonadota; Alphaproteobacteria; Rhodobacterales; Paracoccaceae
Description: Rhodobacteraceae bacterium partial transfer-messenger RNA
Rfam family: Alphaproteobacteria transfer-messenger RNA
About the family: Bacterial tmRNA, also known as 10Sa RNA or SsrA, is named for its dual tRNA and mRNA-like properties. Its role is to liberate the mRNA from a stalled ribosome.
Source: RNAcentral
AGUCUUGAAAAAUUUUUGAUUUUCGACAUAAUGAGGGCGUCUUGUUUUCAGGACUAUAGUGAUAAACGCGCAUGGAAUAAGCGGAUCGGACCCGGGGGCGGUACCCGGCGGCUCCACCAAAAAUAUGAGGGGCCGAAAUAGGAUCGACGAACGUCAAAAGAUGUUAGCUUUUACUCGGCGGGAUGGCCACCGAUAUCGGCGCAAAACGUAUAGUUGCAAAUGACAAUUAUGCUCCGGUAGC